RNAcentral lists this transfer RNA (86 nucleotides) under Acidobacteriota bacterium. Its description in RNAcentral is "tRNA-Ser". It matches the Rfam family "tRNA". From Rfam's summary of the family: Transfer RNA (tRNA) molecules are approximately 80 nucleotides in length. Their secondary structure includes four short double-helical elements and three loops (D, anti-codon, and T loops). The record is from RNAcentral. Lineage: Bacteria; Pseudomonadati; Acidobacteriota.
GGAGGCUUAGGCUAAUUGGUAAGUCAGUAGUCUUGAAAACUACCGCGAGUAAUCGCUUGGGGGUUCGAGUCCCUCAGCCUCCGCCA